CGACAAUCUCAUAUUUCUUUGAUCAAUAGAAGAUGGAAUAAUAGCUGAGGGUUUGUUGACUGAUGUUUCGUGGAUUUUUCUUUCUCACUCGUUUUGCACGAGGUCUUUGAUGAGAGUUAACUAACACUGCUGAAUCUUUCAUUAGAGAUACGAUAAGAAAAAAAUGAGUACAUUGGACGUAGCUAGAGCAGAGCUUGGCCUUGCGGUUCUGUAUUUGAACAAAGCCGAAGCCAGGGACAAGAUAUGCAGGGCAAUACAAUAUGGUUCAAAAUACUUGAGUAACCGGGAGCCUGGCACAGCCCAAAAUGUUGACAAAUCAACUAGCUUGGCACGGAAAGUGUUCCGUCUUUUCAAGUUUGUCAAUGAUCUGCACGCGCUCAUUAGUCCAACUUCUCCUGGAACACCCCUUCCCCUUGUUUUGCUGGGAAA
Molecule: non-coding RNA, 429 nt
Organism: Camellia sinensis
Lineage: Eukaryota; Viridiplantae; Streptophyta; Magnoliopsida; Ericales; Theaceae
Source: RefSeq, a predicted model, not a curated record